This 67-nucleotide transfer RNA is filed under the name Scolytinae sp. BMNH 1039996. RNAcentral's name for it is "tRNA-Ser". Lineage: Eukaryota; Metazoa; Arthropoda; Insecta; Coleoptera; Curculionidae. The record is from RNAcentral.
AGUUAAUGAACUUGUUUAAGUAUAUAUUUUGAAAAUAUAAAAAAGGAAAAUAAUUUCCUAUUAACUU